CGUACACUCCUACGGGAGGCAGCAGUGGGGAAUAUUGGACAAUGGGCGCAAGCCUGAUCCAGCCAUGCCGCGUGAGUGAUGAAGGCCCUAGGGUUGUAAAGCUCUUUCACCGGUGAAGAUAAUGACGGUAACCGGAGAAGAAGCCCCGGCUAACUUCGUGCCAGCAGCCGCGGUAAUACGAAGGGGGCUAGCGUUGUUCGGAUUUACUGGGCGUAAAGCGCACGUAGGCGGACUAUUAAGUCAGGGGUGAAAUCCCGGGGCUCAACCCCGGAACUGCCUUUGAUACUGGUAGUCUUGAGUUCGAGAGAGGUGAGUGGAAUUCCGAGUGUAGAGGUGAAAUUCGUAGAUAUUCGGAGGAACACCAGUGGCGAAGGCGGCUCACUGGCUCGAUACUGACGCUGAGGUGCGAAAGCGUGGGGAGCAAACAGGAUUAGAUACCCCUGGUAGUCCCAUGAU
This 456-nucleotide ribosomal RNA is filed under the name uncultured organism. RNAcentral's name for it is "partial 16S ribosomal RNA". It matches the Rfam family "Bacterial small subunit ribosomal RNA", at positions 330 to 801 of the family's 1533-position model. The record is from RNAcentral.